Molecule: long non-coding RNA, 496 nt
Organism: Gadus chalcogrammus (walleye pollock)
Lineage: Eukaryota; Metazoa; Chordata; Actinopteri; Gadiformes; Gadidae
Exons: 2
Source: RefSeq, a predicted model, not a curated record
UUAAAGUUGCUAUCAAAGGGUGGGGCUAAGAUAAUAAACUCAGCUGAAUAUUGCAUUUUUUAAGGUCACGUAUCUGUUCUAAAAAGGCGUUAAAAACAUGCGAUGACGUCACACACUGUAAUACUGUCAGAGGUACUGCUUUACGGCAGUUUCUAAAGCACUUCCCUUGUCCCGCAACGAUAACACCAGCUGUUGGAGUCGGACCUUGAUGCUGUGACAACGGACAAGUCUUCUUCCUCUGUCCUUUUCCCCUGCCUCUGUUCAGUAUGUUCAGUGUUGUUAAAUCAUUUCUCUUUUUUUUUUAUUAGUCACUGUUCUUAUUGUGUUCUCGUUAGUGUGAUGUUUGAAUAAACUUGCCUGUUGCAAUGUUGGUAUAAUGUUUGUAUAAUUACUGUUUUACAACUGUUACUGUUUCAAUGUGACCCAGACCAUAUUUCUCAUUUAACAAACAUGUGUAGCUUAUAAUGUGUUGCAUGGCAGAGCAAUUACGGUAUAU